This 469-nucleotide ribosomal RNA is filed under the name uncultured Fusibacter sp. RNAcentral's name for it is "bacterial SSU rRNA". It matches the Rfam family "Bacterial small subunit ribosomal RNA", at positions 916 to 1382 of the family's 1533-position model. Lineage: Bacteria; Bacillati; Bacillota; Clostridia; Eubacteriales; Fusibacteraceae. The record is from RNAcentral.
GGGACCCGCACAAGCAGCGGAGCAUGUGGUUUAAUUCGAAGCAACGCGAAGAACCUUUACCAGAUCUUGACAUCCAAUUGACCAUCUUUUAAUCGAGAUUUUGCCUUCGGGUACAAUUGAGACAGGUGGUGCAUGGUUGUCGUCAGCUCGUGUCGUGAGAUGUUGGGUUAAGUCCCGCAACGAGCGCAACCCUUGUGUUUAGUUGCAAACAGGUCAAGCUGUGCACUCUAGACAGACUGCCGUGGACAACACGGAGGAAGGUGGGGAUGACGUCAAAUCAUCAUGCCCCUUAUGAUCUGGGCUACACACGUGCUACAAUGGCCGGUACAACGGGCAGCGAAGGAGCGAUCCGGAGCGAAUCCUAAAAGCCGGUCCCAGUUCGGAUUGCAGGCUGAAACUCGCCUACAUGAAGUUGGAGUUGCUAGUAAUCGCGAAUCAGAAUGUCGCGGUGAAUGCGUUCCCGGGUCUU